RNAcentral lists this ribosomal RNA (372 nucleotides) under uncultured Glomeromycotina. RNAcentral's name for it is "LSU rRNA". The record is from RNAcentral. Lineage: Eukaryota; Fungi; Glomeromycota.
UUGAAAGGGAAACGAUUGAAGUCAGUCGUACCAGCGGGAAAUCAACCUUUCGAGUGGGGGUUUUGGAGUUUUGAAGAGUGUCAAAACCUUUGAGAUUUCAAAAUUUUCGCUCUUUUGGUGUACUUUCUCGUGGGUAGGUUAACAUCGAUUUUGAUCAUCAUAAAAAGAUUGGAGGAAUGUAGCUUCGAUCUUGUAUUGAAGUGUUAUAGCCUUUGGUAAAUGUGAUGAUUAGGAUCGAGGAUUGCAACGAAUACCCUUUUGGGCUAUCCGCCUGAUCUCUGAUACGUGGCCUUGGUAUCGAAAGCGUGCUUAUGGUAUUGAGGUAUUACGGUCAAAAGGUUAGAACGGGAUUUCGUUAAGGAUGUUGACGUA